ACGCUAUUAGUAUAAAGAUUACGCUUGACUUCCAAUCAAGAAAUCGUGGCCUUAUCCACGGUAACGUA
RNAcentral lists this transfer RNA (68 nucleotides) under Holothuria fuscocinerea. Its description in RNAcentral is "tRNA-Gly". It matches the Rfam family "tRNA". From Rfam's summary of the family: Transfer RNA (tRNA) molecules are approximately 80 nucleotides in length. The record is from RNAcentral. Lineage: Eukaryota; Metazoa; Echinodermata; Holothuroidea; Aspidochirotida; Holothuriidae.